GAGACUCUGUGCGCGUGCAUAUCAAUAAGCGGAGGAAAAGAAACUAACUAGGAUUCCCUCAGUAACGGCGAGUGAAGCGGGAAGAGCUCAAAUUUGAAAUCUUAAAGGGUUCUACCUUGACGAAUUGUAGUUUAAAGAAGUGUUUUCUGUUGGAGUUUUCGGUAAAAGUUCUUUGGAAUAGGACAUCAUAGAGGGUGAGAAUCCCGUAUUUGACCAUUACUUUCCAACUGUGUGAUACACUUUCAAAGAGUCGGAUUGUUUGGGAAUGCAGUCCAAAAUGGGUGGUAAAUUUCAUCUAAAGCUAAAUAUUGGCGAGAGACCGAUAGCGAACAAGUACCGUGAGGGAAAGAUGAAAAGAACUUUGAAAAGAGAGUUAAACAGUACGUGAAAUUGUCAAAAGGGAAGCGUUUGACACCAGUGUUGUUUUCUCGAAAAUCAAUUAAAAAAAGUUGGAUUUUGUGUUGUAUUGACCUUAACAGCUUUCUUCACUCUUUUCCUGCUUUUUUUAAUGCACUUUUCGUUUAACAAGUCAACAUCAGUUUCUUUUGUUGUAAAAAGGUCAUUGGAAGGUGGCUUUCUUUUCGGAGAAAGUGUUUAUAGCCUUUGAUCCCUGCAAUCGGAGAGACUGAGGUCUGCAGCGUAGAUCCUUCGGGGUUAGAUACAUUUGUGCUAAGUUAUAGCUUUUUAUAGACAACUUGUUGACUAUAUUUAGUCUUGUAGCUUACUCGCUUAUGCUAUUUUACCUACGCUUAGGAUGUUGAGUCGUAGAGCACGCAG
Molecule: ribosomal RNA, 777 nt
Filed under: uncultured Neocallimastigales
Lineage: Eukaryota; Fungi; Neocallimastigomycota; Neocallimastigomycetes; Neocallimastigales
Description: partial large subunit ribosomal RNA
Rfam family: Eukaryotic large subunit ribosomal RNA
Source: RNAcentral